Molecule: ribosomal RNA, 253 nt
Filed under: uncultured bacterium
Lineage: Bacteria
Description: partial 16S ribosomal RNA
Rfam family: Bacterial small subunit ribosomal RNA
Source: RNAcentral
UACGGAGGGUGCAAGCGUUGCUCGGAAUUAUUGGGCGUAAAGGGUGCGUAGGUGGCUUGUUAAGUCAGGGGUGAAAGUUUUCGGCCCAACCGGAAAAUGGCCUUUGAUACUGGCGAGCUCGAGUGCGUGAGGGGUAACCGGAACGAGCAGUGUAGCGGUGAAAUGCGUAGAUAUUGCUCGGAAGGCCAACGGCGAAGGCAGGUUACUGGUGCGCAACUGACACUGAGGCACGAAAGCGUGGGGAGCAAACAGG